UACGGGAGGCAGCAGUGAGGAAUAUUGGUCAAUGGACGCGAGUCUGAACCAGCCAAGUAGCGUGCAGGAUGACAGCCCUAUGGGUUGUAAACUGCUUUUAUACAGGGAUAAAGUAGGGAACGUGUUCCCUUUUGCAGGUACUGUAUGAAUAAGGACCGGCUAAUUCCGUGCCAGCAGCCGCGGUAAU
This 187-nucleotide ribosomal RNA is filed under the name uncultured rumen bacterium. RNAcentral's name for it is "partial 16S ribosomal RNA". It matches the Rfam family "Bacterial small subunit ribosomal RNA", at positions 340 to 524 of the family's 1533-position model. The record is from RNAcentral.